This 406-nucleotide ribosomal RNA is filed under the name uncultured bacterium. RNAcentral's name for it is "partial 16S ribosomal RNA". It matches the Rfam family "Bacterial small subunit ribosomal RNA", at positions 30 to 526 of the family's 1533-position model. The record is from RNAcentral.
AUUGAACGCUGGCGGCAGGCCUAACACAUGCAAGUCGAACGAGUGGCGGACGGGUGAGUAAUGUCUGGGAAACUGCCCGAUGGAGGGGGAUAACUACCGGAAACGGUAGCUAAUACCGCAUACCAUCGGAUGUGCCCAGAUGGGAUUUGCUAGUAGGUGGGGUAACGGCUCACCUCGGCGACGAUCCCUAGCUGGUCUGAGAGGAUGACCAGCCACACGGGAACUGAGACACGGUCCAGACUCCUACGGGAGGCAGAAGUGGGGAAUAUUGCACAAGGGGCGCAAGCCUGAUGCAGCAAUGCCGCGUGUAUGAAGAAGGCCUUCGGGUUGUAAAGUACUUUCAGCGGUGAGGCGUUACCCGCAGAAGAAGCACCGGCUAACUCCGUGCCAGCCGCCGCGGUAAUAC